Cinara cedri is the source of this 205-nucleotide non-coding RNA. The record is from the annotation of a GenBank genome assembly. Lineage: Eukaryota; Metazoa; Arthropoda; Insecta; Hemiptera; Aphididae.
AUCCGGGCAAAAAAUAAUCACCGACGCGAUGUGAAUAUAUAAAACACAAGUAUACAACGUAUAUACAAUAGCACGUACUUAUACAUGUAAGUAUAGAUAGCGGAUUGAUAUGCACUUAAAUCUACAAAAUAAACGCUUAAAAACGCUAAAAGAAAUAUGUAAAAGAGCAAUAACGAUAUAGAGAGGUUUAAAAUUACCCCCUCCC